UUGGUUUAACUCAUCCCUUAGAGUCCGAUCAUCUUGGCUACAAGGCCAUUCUGCUUUAGACUGUUGGGAAGCUCUUUACUCAGCCCUUAGCUUUUGCCCCUUCGGAAGUUGAUCUUGUGCAGCUAGCAGCCUUCUUGAGUUUGAGUAUUUGGAAGUGUAGAAAUGCUUUGCUCUUUAAGGGUCAGGUCCAAGAUACUUAUGUGGUCAUCAAUUCUGCUUUAGCCUUUCAAGACUCCUUCAUUCAAGCUAUAGUUCAACAACCAUCUUCGUGUCUCCAACAAUGGACACCUCCACCAUCUAAUGUGUUGAAAGCCAACUUUGAUGCUGUUGUUGAUAUCAAUCAAAAGAAAGGAGUUUGUGCAGUUAUUAUUAGGGAUCACAGAGAAAGGACUUUGAAUUGGGCUACUCAUUUGUAUCCAAGUAUAGAUGAUCCCGUUAUUCUAGAGAGUUUAGCUUGCAGGGAUGCGCUUCAGCUUACAAUUACUAGAGGAUACACAAGAAUCAUCUUUGAAGGAGACUGUCAAGUGUUGAUUAAUGCUAUUCUAAAUCGCCAAUGUCCAAUAAUCAUCCCUAAUAUUGUUCACGAUAUACAGGAAUUGGCUUCUAACCUUCAGUUAGUUUCCUUCCCUUUUGUAUGCUUUCUAGCGCAAAAAGCUCUUCAUUACGUAUCCUUGCAUUUAAACCCUGUUUUCCAACAUAUGUUUGUACUGGGGUUUAUGCCUUGUUGAUUUUUUGAAAUGAAAUUCAUCGUCAGACAAAAAAAAAAAAAAAAAAAUCGUUCAUUCCUACUUGACAUUUAAAUUUUAAAAAUCUCUCUCCCUCUCUCUAUCUAAACAAACACCUAAAUUUUCUUUGCUUGAAAGUGGAGAUUUUCUUUACCGGAAUCAAAGAGGAUAGCUGCUCUCAAAGCCGAAGAGCAAAACCAGUUACAACUUGUGGAACGAGAAGACAUCGAUGAAGAAAAAGACUUUUCGAAGCUAUUGACAAGUUGAUCGCUCAAGGAAUCAAUGCAGGAGAUAUAAAGAAGCUUCUAGAUGCAGCAAAAAUGAGCACAAAUGCUCUCCAGAUUGACAAAGACAGCUGAGGAAUUCCAUGUUGCAGUCUACAUGACUAAUCAAGUUAUUGCUGACCCAGGUGGAGGAGUGUUCAUAUCAGAUCCAAAAAAAACCAGCAGGAGGCCAUGUGCUUGCUCAUGUGGCCACAAUCAGGUCGAUGUUCAGGAAAGGCAAAGGUGGACAACGCAUCUGCGAGGUGCUUGACGCUCCAAAUCUGCCUGAGGCAGAAGCGAUAUCCUUAGUCGUUAUUUUUGCUUUUACACUGAUUGGCUUGAUUACUUUUCCGUUGACGGAUUAAGAAAGUGGUAAAAGCAUUAAAUCAUGAUAAGAUUGCGGAUGAUGUAAAAUCCAAAAUGAACCAGUGCUUAGUCUCUUAUCCUAAUACAAACCACCAAUUAUAAUGCAGUAAUUUAAUUUCCCAAUCAAGAUUUAAAUUGCAAUUUUUCUUGACAGAAACACGCAUUUCAGAUUACACCAGGGGGGAUUGUGGACGCAAAGGACCAGCAGAUAUACAGAACACCGAAGGGCAAAAUAUUAGAAAGUUUUCUUUUCCUGUUUCUACUAGUACAUGUUCGGAGGAAAAUAUAUUUGCUGUUUCUGAUAGUUAAGAGGCAAAGCAAGGGUAUUAACUGUCCUUGUUUGAGCUUUACAUUUAUCCCAACUCUUUAAUGGACUUGCUAUAAGAUGUAUAGGUGAUAUUCUUGCCAUGCUGUGUAUCAUGCUGUGUAUUUUUGAUAUAAAGUUUCACGAGAAAUCUUAGAAUU
Hevea brasiliensis (rubber tree) is the source of this 1819-nucleotide RNA transcript. RefSeq lists it as uncharacterized. The record is from RefSeq and is a predicted model, not a curated record. Lineage: Eukaryota; Viridiplantae; Streptophyta; Magnoliopsida; Malpighiales; Euphorbiaceae. The transcript has 5 exons.